This 435-nucleotide ribosomal RNA is filed under the name uncultured bacterium. Its description in RNAcentral is "partial 16S ribosomal RNA". It matches the Rfam family "Bacterial small subunit ribosomal RNA", at positions 29 to 507 of the family's 1533-position model. The record is from RNAcentral.
AGCGAACGCUGGCGGCAGGCUUAACACAUGCAAGUCGAACGGGCAUAGCAAUAUGUCAGUGGCAGACGGGUGAGUAACGCGUGGGAACGUACCUUUUGGUUCGGAACAACACAGGGAAACUUGUGCUAAUACCGGAUAAGCCCUUACGGGGAAAGAUUUAUCGCCGAAAGAUCGGCCCGCGUCUGAUUAGCUAGUUGGUAGGGUAAUGGCCUACCAAGGCGACGAUCAGUAGCUGGUCUGAGAGGAUGAUCAGCCACAUUGGGACUGAGACACGGCCCAAACUCCUACGGGAGGCAGCAGUGGGGAAUAUUGGGCAAUGGGCGAAAGCAUGAUCCAGCCAUGCCGCGUGAGUGAUGAAGGCCCUAGGGUUGUAAAGCUCUUUUGUGCGGGAAGAUAAUGACGGUACCGCAAGAAUAAGCCCCGGCUAACUUCGUG